AACGAACGCUGGCGGCAUGCCUAACACAUGCAAGUCGAACGAGAUCUUUCGGGGUGUAGUGGCGCACGGGUGCGUAACGCGUGGGAAUCUGCCUUUGGGUAUGGAUUAACUCAGAGAAAUUUGAGCUAAUACCAUAUGAAGCCGUCGUACCAAAGAUGUAUCGCCCUGAGAUGAGCCAGCGUAGGAUUAGCUAGUUGGUUGGGUGAAGGCCUACCAAGUCGACGAGCGGUAGCUGGUCUGAGAGGAGGAUCAGCCACACUGGGACUGAGACACGGUCCAGAAUCCUGGGAGAGGCAGAAGGCGGGAAUAUUGGAGGAUGGGCGCAAGGCGGAUCAAUCCAUACCGGGUGAGAGAAGAAGCCAGGCGGGCGGUGAAGGUCUUUAAGGUGUAAGGAAAGGAAGGAUGUUUACACCGGGAUGUUAUGACGAGACCCAGAGGAUAAGCCCCGGGUAACUUCGUG
RNAcentral lists this ribosomal RNA (460 nucleotides) under uncultured bacterium. RNAcentral describes it as "partial 16S ribosomal RNA". It matches the Rfam family "Bacterial small subunit ribosomal RNA", at positions 29 to 507 of the family's 1533-position model. The record is from RNAcentral.